RNAcentral lists this ribosomal RNA (465 nucleotides) under uncultured bacterium. Its description in RNAcentral is "partial 16S ribosomal RNA". It matches the Rfam family "Bacterial small subunit ribosomal RNA", at positions 339 to 795 of the family's 1533-position model. The record is from RNAcentral.
CUACGGGCGGCAGCAGUGGGGAAUAUUGGACAAUGGGGGAAACCCUGAUCCAGCAAUGCCGCGUGUGUGAAGAAGGCCUGCGGGUUGUAAAGCACUUUCGGUUGGGAGGACUGCUUCUAGCACUAAUAUUGUUGGAAGUUGACGUUACCUUCAGAAGAAGCACCGGCUAACUCCGUGCCAGCAGCCGCGGUAAGACGGAGGGUGCAAGCGUUAAUCGGAAUUACUGGGCGUAAAGCGCGCGUAGGCGGCUAGAUCAGUCGGGUGUGAAAGCCCCGGGCUUAACCUGGGAACUGCAUCCGAUACUGUCUAGCUUGAGUACAGGAGAGGAGAGUGGAAUUCCACAUGUAGCGGUGAAAUGCGUAGAUAUGUGGAGGAACACCAAUGGCGAAGGCAGCUCUCUGGCCUGAUACUGACGCUGAUGUGCGAAAGCGUGGGGAGCAAACAGGAUUAGAUACCCUCGUAGUC